UAGAGUUUGAUCCUGGCUCAGGAUGAACGCUGGCGGCGUGCCUAAUACAUGCAAGUCGAACGCUAGUCGCGGACCUGAUCACUUCGGUGAGACGUAAAGCAUAUGGCUAGAGUGGCGAACGGGUGAGUAACACGUGGACAACCUGCCUCUAAGCAGGGGAUAACAUUUGGAAACAGAUGCUAAUACCGUAUAACAACACAUUUCGCAUGAAGUGUGUUUAAAAGGGGCUUCGGCCUCACUUAGAGAUGGAUCCGCGGUGCAUUAGUUAGUUGGUGAGGUAAAGGCUUACCAAGACGAUGAUGCAUAGCCGAGUUGAGAGACUGAUCGGCCACAUUGGGACUGAGACACGGCCCAAACUCCUACGGGAGGCUGCAGUAGGGAAUCUUCCACAAUGGGCGCAAGCCUGAUGGAGCAACGCCGCGUGUGUGAUGAAGGCUUUCGGGUCGUAAAGCACUGUUGUAUGGGAAGAAUAGUUAAUGUAGGAAAUGAUGUUAAUGUGACGGUACCAUACCAGAAAGGGACGGCUAAAUACGUGCCAGCAGCCGCGGUAAUACGUAUGUCCCGAGCGUUAUCCGGAUUUAUUGGGCGUAAAGCGAGCGCAGACGGUUCGUUAAGUCUGAAGUGAAAGCCCACAGCUCAACUGUGGAAUGGCUUUGGAAACUGGCGAACUUGAGUGCAGUAGAGGCAAGUGGAACUCCAUGUGUAGCGGUGGAAUGCGUAGAUAUAUGGAAGAACACCAGUGGCGAAGGCGGCUUGCUGGACUGUAACUGACGUUGAGGCUCGAAAGUGUGGGUAGCAAACAGGAUUAGAUACCCUGGUAGUCCACACCGUAAACGAUGAGUGCUAGGUGUU
Molecule: ribosomal RNA, 852 nt
Filed under: Leuconostoc fallax
Lineage: Bacteria; Bacillati; Bacillota; Bacilli; Lactobacillales; Lactobacillaceae
Description: bacterial SSU rRNA
Rfam family: Bacterial small subunit ribosomal RNA
Source: RNAcentral